RNAcentral lists this ribosomal RNA (254 nucleotides) under uncultured bacterium. Its description in RNAcentral is "partial 16S ribosomal RNA". It matches the Rfam family "Bacterial small subunit ribosomal RNA", at positions 524 to 776 of the family's 1533-position model. The record is from RNAcentral.
UACGAAGGGGGCUAGCGUUGUUCGGAAUUACUGGGCGUAAAGCGUAUGCAGGCGGAUCGUUAAGUCGGGGGUGAAAUCCCGAGGCUCAACCUCGGAACUGCCUUCGAUACUGGCGACCUUCGAGUCCGGGAGAGGUGAGUGGAACUGCGAGUGUAGAGGUGAAAUUCGUAGAUAUUCGCAAGAACACCAGUGGCGAAGGCGGCUCACUGGCCCGGUACUGACGCUGAGGCACGAAAGCGUGGGGAGCAAACAGG